CACACAACCAAACAGCAAAGGGCAUAGGCCAAAAAAGACCAUACUCGCCCCAAAGAUUUGACAGAAUAUGGUGGGCGUCUCAGCUUGCAUUUUAUACCCCGGAUCCAUGUGCAAAUACAGAGCAAAGGCCCCUGGGAUCACAUGACCUCCCAGGUCAGCGAGUAGCAAAGCCACUGUUAGUAGCAGAAAGUGUGCUUUUGAUUGGCGCUGGAAUCGGAUGUGGGACUUAGCCAGGAUGCCCAGAGCGGUGAGGUUGGAGACAGCACCAAAUGUCAUAGUGAAGCAGGACAUCCCGAUGCCUGAAGAUCUGACCGAUGGCCAGGUGCUGCUGUUCAGCCACGGACUUGGCUGUUCAGUGGAGUUGAUAUUCAUGUUCUGGUGGAGGACGGAUGGCGUAGAAGAAGAAAAGACUCUCGGACAGUCUCUCCCUCUCCUAGGUCAGUCUCUCUCUCUCUUUCUGUCCACAGGCUUUGCAGCUAUUCUAUGUCUGUGUGCUGGACUUGUCUUUUCCAUCCUCCUGCCUUCUCUUAGUUCCUCCUAUCGAUUCAUCUCCUCUGCUGAUACUUUGAGCCAGAGGUGAUCCCAGCUGUCAUUUUCAUUUUGUAACACUGAUUCCGUGUUAGCUGAAUGCCACAUGAAGGGUGAGCUAAUAUUUUGCAAUUCACUUUGUCAAUUGCUUAAUAAUAGUAGUAAUACUAAUAAUGCAUCCCUCAAUACAGGCAGAGAUCUGAGUCAUUCAACAGGGGCCGUGAUAUGUUUGUGUUUGUGUGACUGUCAGUCACAUAAACAUAAGAACAGAAGAGAGACAUACAUCAGAGGAUUUGGAAGAGCAUGAAGAUUAUUAUAUGUUUAAAUGGUUUCCUGUGUACUUGUGGUAUCCUGUGUAGAAGAAUGUCACACUUGGAUCACAUGCUAACUGAACAUCAUCCUAACAGAUAUUCUUCUGAAUAUUUUAGAUACAAAAAACACCUGUGUUUUAACAUAUGGGUAUAAACCAAACAAUGCAUCAACACUAACACUCCCAAAGUUUGUAAAUGUGUAAAGAGGUAAUAUUGCACUCAUUUUCACUGAUAUAAUAUACAGUACAUUUGUUUACAGUUACUUAAGGUCUGUUAGCUUUUUGAGGCCAUCAUGCUUGUGAUCUGCCAUAAACAGGAAGGAAGAGGAGAAACGUC
This is a long non-coding RNA of Scophthalmus maximus (turbot), 1175 nucleotides long. RefSeq lists it as uncharacterized. Lineage: Eukaryota; Metazoa; Chordata; Actinopteri; Pleuronectiformes; Scophthalmidae. The transcript has 2 exons. The record is from RefSeq and is a predicted model, not a curated record.